UACGUAGGUGACAAGCGUUGUCCGGAUUUACUGGGCGUAAAGAGCGCGCAGGCGGUCGUUCAAGUCGAGUGUGAAAGCCCCCGGCUCAACUGGGGAGGGUCAUUCGAUACUGAUCGACUCGAAGGCAGGAGAGGGAGGUGGAAUUCCCGGUGUAGUGGUGAAAUGCGUAGAUAUCGGGAGGAACACCAGUGGCGAAGGCGACUUCCUGGCCUGUUCUUGACGCUGAGGCGCGAAAGCUAGGGGAGCAAACGGG
This 253-nucleotide ribosomal RNA is filed under the name uncultured bacterium. RNAcentral describes it as "partial 16S ribosomal RNA". It matches the Rfam family "Bacterial small subunit ribosomal RNA", at positions 524 to 776 of the family's 1533-position model. The record is from RNAcentral.